Molecule: ribosomal RNA, 164 nt
Filed under: Triticum aestivum (bread wheat)
Lineage: Eukaryota; Viridiplantae; Streptophyta; Magnoliopsida; Poales; Poaceae
Description: 5.8S ribosomal RNA
Rfam family: 5.8S ribosomal RNA
About the family: 5.8S ribosomal RNA (5.8S rRNA) is a component of the large subunit of the eukaryotic ribosome. It is transcribed by RNA polymerase I as part of the 45S precursor that also contains 18S and 28S rRNA.
Source: RNAcentral
CACACGACUCUCGGCAACGGAUAUCUCGGCUCUCGCAUCGAUGAAGAACGUAGCGAAAUGCGAUACCUGGUGUGAAUUGCAGAAUCCCGCGAACCAUCGAGUCUUUGAACGCAAGUUGCGCCCGARGCCACUCGGGCGAGGGCACGCCUGCCUGGGCGUCACGC